Molecule: ribosomal RNA, 534 nt
Filed under: Junonia iphita (chocolate pansy)
Lineage: Eukaryota; Metazoa; Arthropoda; Insecta; Lepidoptera; Nymphalidae
Description: partial 16S ribosomal RNA
Rfam family: Bacterial large subunit ribosomal RNA (bases 398-534)
Source: RNAcentral
AAAAACAUGUCUUUUUGAUAAUAAUUUAAAGUCUAAUCUGCCCACUGAUUUAAAUAUUAAAGGGCUGCAGUAUAUUGACUGUACAAAGGUAGCAUAAUCAUUAGUCUUUUAAUUGGAGACUUGUAUGAAAGAUUUGAUGAGAUAUAAACUGUCUCUGAUUUAUUAUUAGAAAUUAAUUUUUUAGUUAAAAAGCUAAAAUAAUAUUAAAAGACGAGAAGACCCUAUAGAGUUUUAUAUUUUAUUUAUUUAAUAUUUAAUAUAUAAUUAAAUUAUAUUAAAUAAAUAAAAUAUUGUAUUGGGGUGAUAAAAAAAUUUAAUAAACUUUUUUUUAAAAAUGAACAUAAAUAAGUGAUUAAUUGAUCCAUUAAUAAUGAUUAAAAGAAAAAAUUACCUUAGGGAUAACAGCGUAAUGUUUUUUUUUAGUACAAAUAAGAAAAAAAGUUUGCGACCUCGAUGUUGGAUUAAGAUAAAAUUUAAAUGCAAAAGUUUAAAAUUUUGAUCUGUUCGAUCAUUAAAAUCUUACAUGAUCUGAGC